This 433-nucleotide ribosomal RNA is filed under the name uncultured marine bacterium. RNAcentral's name for it is "bacterial SSU rRNA". It matches the Rfam family "Bacterial small subunit ribosomal RNA", at positions 8 to 457 of the family's 1533-position model. The record is from RNAcentral.
AGAGUUUGAUCAUGGCUCAGAUUGAACGCUGGCGGCAUGGCUAAAACAUGCAAGUCGAACGAUUAAAGCNUCUUCGGAAGUGCAUAAAGUGGCGUAAGGGCGAGGAAUAUAUUUCUAUGUACCCCUAAGUCGAGGAUAGCCCAGGGAAACUUGGUGUAAUACUCGAUGUGGUCUCCGGAUCAAAGAUUUAUCGCUUAGGGAGCAGGGAAUAUCCUAUCAGGUUGUUGGUGAGGUAACGGCUCACCAAGCCAAAGACGGGUAGCGGGUGUGAGAGCAUGACCCGCCGCAUCGGAACUGAGACACUGUCCGGACUCCUACGGGAGGCUGCAGUAACGAAUAUUCCGCAAUGAGCGAAAGCUUGACGGAGCAAUGCCGCGUGCAGGAUGAAUCUCUUCGGAGUGUAAACUGCUGUCAGAGACUAGGAACUCAAUGA